Molecule: long non-coding RNA, 671 nt
Filed under: Elaeis guineensis (African oil palm)
Lineage: Eukaryota; Viridiplantae; Streptophyta; Magnoliopsida; Arecales; Arecaceae
Description: long non-coding RNA (EGUI_LNC027014)
Source: RNAcentral
CCUCCAGUCGGAUCCUACCGGUUCUCAUUCGAUGGAUCUGGAUCCUCCCAACUCUCAUCCUCCGAUCGAAUCUGGUCGAUCGAUUCUCCCAGCUUUCAUCUUCCAGUCAAAUCCAGUCGUCUUUGGAUCUUCCCAGCUCUUAUCCUUCGGUCGGAUCCAAUCCUCCGAGCUCUCAUUGGAUCCGAUUGUCCUCCAGUAGGAUCCAGAUCUUCCCAACUCUAUCAUCUUCUGAUUCGAGCCGAUAGGAUCCUCCCAGCUCUCAUCGUAGGUUGUGGUUCGAUGAUCAAUCAGGAGAUGAUCUCCAAGCCAUCAUCAUCAUCAUGGAUGUGUAUGGAUGCUGACUAGUAAAUCCUAAACUCUAAACCCUAAACUUUAAAUCCAAACCCUAAAUCCUAAACCCAAACCCUAAAUCUUAAACCUUAAACUCUAAACCGGAGGACGCUAACAUCCAACCAAUCUUGUGAUGUGCAUUGAUGUGGAUAGAGCACUGUAAUUUAAUCUGACCUAAAGUUCAGUAUGACCUGACCUAACCUAAAGCACCAUGUGACCUGAUGUAAAGCACCCGAAUGCUGUGACUCGACCUAAAAUUCUUGUGAUCUGACUGACCCGUGACCCAGUGAGCCACCUGUGAUCCAACAGGACUAACCAGAUGUAGGUGCCUAAGCGCCUCC